CUUAGCAUGGUGAAUGGUGAGGGAGUCCAAGGUUAAUAUAAAGAUCUCAAGGUUCUUAUUACAGCACAUUAAGUACCACCAUCGUGAAACAUUUUAAAUUUAUGUUUGUAUUCUCUUUUUCUCUUUUGCUCUUGUUUUAUGGUCCGUUCAAUGAAUACAAUAAAGAGACAAGAUAUGACAAUGUUUCUCCUCCCUGUGGUUGGUAUUGCUGGCGACGUAAGUUGUCACGGCUGUGACCACUAGUUCACCGAGGGCCAUCAUCACGCUCGUCCUUUUCCUCCCUUAAACAUUAGAACAUGCCAUCUCGCAACCCUCCACAUUCUUGGGUUUGUUCUUCCCAUGUCGUAAUGAAAUGGUUACUGCUACUCGUCAAGAUGUUGUGACCUGCGAUGGCAGACCUCCCACCGUCUGCCACCUCCACGCCACCAAUUGUGAUUCUGCCUCCCACAGUGCUUGCUUUACGCCUGGGUCCAAGUCCAUCCCAAAGAAAAGGAUAUCACGAGACCCGAGGCUAAGGCUGAUGACGCCACAAUAGUUCCUCCAUUCGUCAGUCGCGGUGUCACCCUCUGUUUGGCAGCUCAACCCUCA
This 588-nucleotide long non-coding RNA is filed under the name Lotus japonicus. Its description in RNAcentral is "long non-coding RNA (LJAP_LNC000727)". Lineage: Eukaryota; Viridiplantae; Streptophyta; Magnoliopsida; Fabales; Fabaceae. The record is from RNAcentral.